Molecule: ribosomal RNA, 449 nt
Filed under: uncultured bacterium
Lineage: Bacteria
Description: partial 16S ribosomal RNA
Rfam family: Bacterial small subunit ribosomal RNA
Source: RNAcentral
AAUGAACGCUGGCGGCAUGCCUAACACAUGCAAGUCGAACGAAGGCUUCGGCCUUAGUGGCGCACGGGUGCGUAACGCGUGGGAAUCUGCCCUCAGGUUCGGAAUAACAGCGAGAAAUUGCUGCUAAUACCGGAUGAUAUCACGAGAUCAAAGAUUUAUCGCCUGAGGAUGAGCCCGCGUAGGAUUAGCUAGUUGGUGUGGUAAAGGCGCACCAAGGCGACGAUCCUUAGCUGGUCUGAGAGGAUGAUCAGCCACACUGGGACUGAGACACGGCCCAGUCUCCUACGGGAGGCAGCAGUGGGGAAUAUUGGACAAUGGGCGAAAGCCUGAUCCAGCAAUGCCGCGUGAGUGAUGAAGGCCUUAGGGUUGUAAAGCUCUUUUACCCGGGAUGAUAAUGACAGUACCGGGAGAAUAAGCUCCGGCUAACUCCGUGCCAGCCGCCGCGGUAA